This 433-nucleotide ribosomal RNA is filed under the name uncultured bacterium. RNAcentral describes it as "partial 16S ribosomal RNA". It matches the Rfam family "Bacterial small subunit ribosomal RNA", at positions 29 to 507 of the family's 1533-position model. The record is from RNAcentral.
AACGAACGCUGGCGGCAGGCCUAACACAUGCAAGUCGAGCGGACCCUUCGGGGUUAGCGGCGGACGGGUGAGUAACGCGUGGGAAUAUGCCCUUCUCUACGGAAUAGUCCUGGGAAACUGGGGGUAAUACCGUAUAAGCCCUUUGGGGGAAAGAUUUAUCGGGGAAGGAUUAGCCCGCGUUGGAUUAGGUAGUUGGUAGGGUAAUGGCCUACCAAGCCGACGAUCCAUAGCUGGUUUGAGAGGAUGAUCAGCCACACUGGGACUGAGACACGGCCCAGACUCCUACGGGAGGCAGCAGUGGGGAAUCUUAGACAAUGGGGGCAACCCUGAUCUAGCCAUGCCGCGUGAGUGAUGAAGGCCUUAGGGUUGUAAAGCUCUUUCAGCUGGGAAGAUAAUGACGGUACCAGCAGAAGAAGCCCCGGCUAACUCCGUG